This 338-nucleotide ribosomal RNA is filed under the name uncultured bacterium. Its description in RNAcentral is "bacterial SSU rRNA". It matches the Rfam family "Bacterial small subunit ribosomal RNA", at positions 173 to 507 of the family's 1533-position model. The record is from RNAcentral.
AUAACAUUGCGAGGAGGGCAUCUGAUUGCUAAUUAAAGUUUCGGCGGUAUAUGAUUGGUGUGCGUUUGAUUAGCUAGUUGGUAGGGUAACGGCCUACCAAGGCGACGAUCAAUAGCUGGCGUGAGAGCGCGACCAGCCACACUGGAACUGAGACACGGUCCAGACUCCUACGGGAGGCAGCAGUAGGGAAUAUUGGACAAUGGAGGAAACUCUGAUCCAGCCAUGCCGCGUGAUAGAUGAAGGCCCUCUGGGUUGUAAAUAUCUUUUAUCUGGGAAGAAACACUCCUAUUCUUAGGAACUUGACGGUACCAGAGGAAUAAGCACCGGCUAACUCCGUG